GACGAACGCUGGCGGCGUGCUUAACACAUGCAAGUCGAACGGAAAGGCGCUGCUUUUGCGGGGUGCUCGAGUGGCUAAUGUGUGAGUAACACGUGGGUAACCUGCCCUUGAUAUUGGGACACCUUCAGGAAACUGGGGCUAAUACCGGAUUGUUGCUCCUGCUGAAUGGCGGGGGACGGCAAGUUUCGGCGGUUGGGGAUGGACUCGCGGCUUAUGAGCUUGCUGGCGGGGUAGUGGCUUACCAAGUCUUUGACGGGCAGACGGCCUGACAGGGGAACCGGCCACACUGGGACGGGAAUACGGCACGGACUCCUACGGGAGGCAACGGUGGGGAAGAGUACACAAUGGGCGGGAGGCUGAUGCGACGACGCGGCGUGCGGGAUGACAGGCUGCGGGUUGGUAACCGCUGUCGCCUGAGAAGAGGAGAGAGUGACGGUAAUGGGUAAAGAAGCACCGGCUAACUACGUG
This 468-nucleotide ribosomal RNA is filed under the name uncultured bacterium. RNAcentral's name for it is "partial 16S ribosomal RNA". It matches the Rfam family "Bacterial small subunit ribosomal RNA", at positions 28 to 507 of the family's 1533-position model. The record is from RNAcentral.